UCGCCUGUUUAUCAAAAACAUCUCUCCUAGGUUAAUUAUUAGGAGUAGGCCCUGCCCUGUGAUGAUUUUUUAACGGCGACGUUAAGUUUUGAAGUAGCGUGGUAAUUUGUCCCUUAAUUAGGGUCUGGUAUGAAUGGGUUGACGUGGAGAGGCUGUCUCGGGGGUAGAAACGGAAAUUUUCUUUCUAGUGAAAAGCCUGGAAUAGGUUUAAAAGACGAGAAGACCCCGUCGAGCUUGAUUUCCAAAGUGAUGAAUCGCUGCGGUGAAGUUUUAUUGGGGCAAUAAAGGAGAAAGGAAACCUCCUGUUUUUUUGGCGAAGAUCCACCUAUUGGGGAAAAAGGAAAAAGCUACCGCGGGGAUAACAGCGCAAAACUAUCUGAUAGGCCGUAUUGAAGGUAGUGAUUGCGACCUCGAUGUUGGAUUAAAGUUUACAGCUUGGCGCAGAAGCUUGGCAAAGUGGGACUGUUCGUCCCUUAAAUCUUUACAUGAUCUGAG
Molecule: ribosomal RNA, 495 nt
Filed under: Vasticardium insulare
Lineage: Eukaryota; Metazoa; Mollusca; Bivalvia; Cardiida; Cardiidae
Description: partial 16S ribosomal RNA
Rfam family: Bacterial large subunit ribosomal RNA
Source: RNAcentral